CACGUAGGGGGCGAGCGUUGUCCGGAUUUAUUGGGCGUAAAGAGCUCGUAGGCGGUUUCGUAAGUCGGAUGUGAAAACUCCAGGCUCAACUUGGAGACGCCAUUCGAUACUGCGAUGACUUGAGUCCGGUAGGGGAGUGUGGAAUUCCUGGUGUAGCGGUGAAAUGCGCAGAUAUCAGGAGGAACACCGGCGGCGAAGGCGGCACUCUGGGACGGUACUGACGCUGAGACGCGAAAGCGUGGGGAGCGAACAGG
RNAcentral lists this ribosomal RNA (254 nucleotides) under uncultured bacterium. Its description in RNAcentral is "partial 16S ribosomal RNA". It matches the Rfam family "Bacterial small subunit ribosomal RNA", at positions 524 to 776 of the family's 1533-position model. The record is from RNAcentral.